This 2660-nucleotide long non-coding RNA is filed under the name Sus scrofa (pig). RNAcentral describes it as "lncRNA (ENSSSCG00005042049.1)". The record is from RNAcentral. Lineage: Eukaryota; Metazoa; Chordata; Mammalia; Artiodactyla; Suidae.
UUUUUUUUAGCAGUUGAGAUUAGUGAAUCCAGAAGGUUUGCUUACUGUCCAAGGAAUGACUCUACUGAUCCAGAAGCCUUAGUAAAAACUGUUAUUCUCUGUUGAGUAAACAGCAUCUUAUCAUGACACUGACUCACUUGAGUAAGUCAAUUCAGGGCUGCACAACACAAAUGACUUUUAAGAACAAUAUUUUUAAAGUCAGAAAUAAAAAUCAUCAAAUAGCAUAAAAAUGAUAAAAUAGAGAUUAUAAGCUUUGAUUCCAUAAUUAUAUCAAAUACCUUAAGUACUAAGGCUAGAGGGAGGAGGAACCAGAGAGUGAAGAGAAGGGGAAGGGGAAGACCAGACUUGAGGGCAGAAGACACAGAGGGCUCCCGGGACAGAGAAGCCAGACACACAGAGAGAGAGACAAAGGAGGAGAAGAAACAGACUGUAAAUUGAUGAAGACAGAUCAGUAAGAGGGCACACUAAAGAGAACUGGGAAAAACGGAGAGAUGAAUGAAUCAAGAAGAGUGAGCAAUAUAGGAUGACAGUGGUCAGUUGGGUAAUUCUCACAUCAUAUCCUGUGAAAAUGUGGACCAGAGUUCCCAUCAUGGCACAGCAGAUGAAUCUGAUUAGUAUCCAUGAGGAUGCAGGUUCGAUCCCAGGCCUUACCCAGUGGGUUAAGGAUCUGGCGUUGCCCUGAGCUGUGGUGUAGGUCAGCAGUUAUAACUCCAAUUCGACUCCGGCCUGGGAGGGAACCUCCAUAUGCUGUGGGUACGGCCCUAAAAGACAAAAAAAAGAAAAGAAAAAAAAAAGAAAAGAAAAUGCUGACCGUAGGCAUCAGAAUAAAUCACCACAUCUUUACUAACCUUGAAGUGUUUAUAGGAAAAGAGUUUAGCUUUCUGGAAAUUUGAAAUUGGCUUUCAUGUACAGGAAAGAAGAAAGAAUUUACUUGUAGGAAAUUUAUUUUUGAAAAUCAAGGCAUUGUGUCGUUAAAUACAUCCCAAAGUGGUAGUCUCUGUUUAGAUUGGCCACUUUGUCACUUAGGCUAGAGAGUCUCUUUGAUAUGUAGAAUUCCUGCUAUAUCAAUUGAUCUUUCAGGCUUCUGCAUUUCAUAAUUUUUCAAAGUUAAAAUGUGAAUAUAGGAGCUCCUGUUACAGCUUAGCAGGUUAAGAACCCAACUACUGAGUGAGGCCAGGGAUCGAACCUGUGUCUUCAUGGAUGCUAGUCAGAUUCCUUUCCACUGAGCCAUGAUGGGAACUCCUAGAAUAUUCUCAUAUGUGUGUCCUGGUACAUGUUUCCAAGUGUUUUUCUUGAUUCUAAACAGGGAUAGGGUUUCUGAGCUGUGAGGUACAUGAAAGUUCAGGUUUAACCUGAAGUGAUAUUUAGAAAAUAUCAAAUUAUUUUACCAAAUUGUACCAGUGCAUGAGAUCCUUUUGACUCACAUUCUGUAAGCCUUAGAAUUGUCAGAUUUCUUCGUUUUUGCUAAAUGACAUCUUACUGUUGUCGUGAUUUGCAUUUUCUUGAUUACUUAGCAUGUUCUUGUGUUCUUUGGCCAUAUUUAUUUAUUACUUCUGUGAAAUGCCUCCUUAUGUCUUUUACCCAUUGUUCUAGAGUGUUAUUUUCUCUUUUUGUAUUGAUUUGUAGGAAUUCUUCAUAUAAUCUAGAUAACAAAUCCUUUGUUGAUUAUGUGUGUUGCACAUAUAUUCUCCCAAUUUGUAGCUUGAUUUUUUUUUUUUUUACUUUUCUUAAAAUAUCUUUUUCUUUUUCUCUCUCUCUCUUUUUUUGUUUUUGUUUUUGUUUUUGCCUUUUUAGGACUGUACCCGAGGGAUAUUUAGGUUUCCAGGCUAGGGGUCGAAUCAGAGUUGUAGCCGCUGGCCUGCACCACAGCCACAGCAACUCCAGAUCAGAGCCUCGUCUGUGACCUACCCCACAGCUCACAGCAAUGCUGGAUCCUUAACCCACUGAGUGAGGCCAGGGGUUGGAUUGUGUCCUCAUGGAUAUUAGUGAUUCAUUUCUGCUGAGCCACUACGGGAACUCCUUAAAAUAUCUUUUUCUUAAAAAUUUUAAAAAAUAGUGUUGUAGGGAGUUCCUGUUGUGGCUCAGUGGUUAACGAAUCCACCUAGGAACCAUGAGGUUGCAGGUUCGAUCCCUGGCCUUGCUUAGUGGGUCAAGGAUUCGGCGUUGCCGUGAGCUGUGGUGUAGAUUGCAGACGUGGCUCGGAUCUGGUAUUGCUGUGGCUCUGGCGUAGGCUGGCGGUUACAGCUCCGAUUAGACCCCUAGCCUAGGAACCUCCAUAUGCUGCAGGAGUGGCCCUAGAAAAGGCAAAAAGACAAAAAACGAAAAAACAAAACAAAAAAACCAGUGUUUUAAUGUACAUUCUUAAAAAUUUUUUUUCUUGUUUUUUACGGCCACACCCUUGGCAUAUGGAAGUUCCCAGCUGGAAGCCCAUCCCACAUUCACAGCAACAUAGGAUCUGGGCUGCAUCUGUGACCUACACCAUGCUCACAGCAAUACCACAUCCUUUAACCCACUGAGUGAGGCCAGGGAUCGAACCUGCAUCUUCAUGGAUAAUAUUUGGACUCAUUUCUGCUGUGCCACAACACGAACUCCCAAAUGUUGGUUUUUUUUUUCUUUUUUCAACUGAGGUAUAGUUGAUUUACAGUGUUGUGCAAAUUUCU